This 892-nucleotide ribosomal RNA is filed under the name Triangularia tetraspora. RNAcentral describes it as "LSU rRNA". It matches the Rfam family "Eukaryotic large subunit ribosomal RNA", at positions 38 to 961 of the family's 3401-position model. The record is from RNAcentral. Lineage: Eukaryota; Fungi; Ascomycota; Sordariomycetes; Sordariales; Podosporaceae.
GCAUAUCAAUAAGCGGAGGAAAAGAAACCAACAGGGAUUGCCUCAGUAACGGCGAAGUGAAGCGGCAACAGCUCAAAUUUGAAAUCUGGCCUCGGCCCGAGUUGUAAUUUGUAGAGGAAGCUUUUGGUGCGGCACCGACCGAGUCCCCUGGAACGGGGCGCCAUAGAGGGUGAGAGCCCCGUAUGGUUGGACGCCUAUCCUCUGUAAAGCUCCUUCGACGAGUCGAGUAGUUUGGGAAUGCUGCUCAAAAUGGGAGGUAAAUUUCUUCUAAAGCUAAAUACUGGCCAGAGACCGAUAGCGCACAAGUAGAGUGAUCGAAAGAUGAAAAGCACUUUGAAAAGAGGGUUAAACAGCACGUGAAAUUGUUGAAAGGGAAGCGCCUGUGACCAGACUUGCGCCUCGUCGAUCAUCCGGGGUUCUCCCCGGUGCGCUCGGCGGGGCUCAGGCCAGCAUCGGUUCUCGCGGGGGGACAAAGGCUCCGGGAACGUAGCUCCUCCGGGAGUGUUAUAGCCCGGGGCGCAAUGCCCCCGCGGGGACCGAGGACCGCGCUUCGGCAAGGAUGCUGGCGUAAUGGUCACCAGCGACCCGUCUUGAAACACGGACCAAGGAGUCAAGGUUUUGCGCGAGUGUUUGGGUGUAAAACCCGCACGCGUAAUGAAAGUGAACGUAGGUGAGAGCUUCGGCGCAUCAUCGACCGAUCCUGAUGUAUUCGGAUGGAUUUGAGUAGGAGCGUUAAGCCUUGGACCCGAAAGAUGGUGAACUAUGCUUGGAUAGGGUGAAGCCAGAGGAAACUCUGGUGGAGGCUCGCAGCGGAUCUGACGUGCAAAUCGAUCGUCAAAUCUGAGCAUGGGGGGCGAAAGACUAAUCGAACCAUCUAGUAGCUGGUUACCGC